ACUCCUACGGGAGGCAGCAGUGGGGAAUCUUGGACAAUGGGCGCAAGCCUGAUCCAGCCAUGCCGCGUGAGUGAAGAAGGCCCUAGGGUCGUAAAACUCUUUCGCCAGGGAUGAUAAUGACAGUACCUGGUAAAGAAACCCCGGCUAACUCCGUGCCAGCAGCCGCGGUAAUACGGAGGGGUUAGCGUUGUUCGGAAUUACUGGGCGUAAAGCGUACGUAGGCGGAUUAGUCAGUCAGAGGUGAAAUCCCAGGGGCUCAACCCUGGAACUGCCUUUUGAUACUGCUAGUCUUGAGUUCGAGAGAGGUGAGUGGAAUUCCAAGUGUAGAGGUGAAAUUCGUAGAUAUUUGGAGGAACACCAGUGGCGAAGGCGGCUCACUGGCUCGAUACUGACGCUGAGGUACGAAAGUGUGGGAGCAAACAGGAUUAGAUACCCUGGUAGGAUAGCG
RNAcentral lists this ribosomal RNA (448 nucleotides) under uncultured bacterium. Its description in RNAcentral is "bacterial SSU rRNA". It matches the Rfam family "Bacterial small subunit ribosomal RNA", at positions 335 to 799 of the family's 1533-position model. The record is from RNAcentral.